This is a regulatory RNA element of Oerskovia sp. Root918, 112 nucleotides long. It matches the Rfam family "SAM (S-adenosyl methionine) riboswitch aptamer". Rfam says of the family: SAM-IV is a mRNA element that regulates gene expression via direct sensing of S-adenosylmethionine (SAM or AdoMet). The record is from Rfam. NCBI's taxonomy places the organism in Bacteria, Bacillati, Actinomycetota, Actinomycetes, Micrococcales, Cellulomonadaceae.
GGUCACGAGCACCAGCGCCAAGCCCCGGCUCGCUGGUCAGCAACCCCUCCCACGACGGGGUGCUCCGGGAGAUGACCUGGUCGCGCCGGCACCGGCGCGGCAAGCGUGCAGC